CAUGCCUGUAAUCCCAGCACUUUGGGAGUCCAAAGUAGGCAAAUCAUAAGGUCAGGAGUUUGAGACCAGCCUGGCCAACAUAAUAAAAUCCUGUCUCUACUAAAAGUACCAAAAAAAAAAAAAAAUUAGCCUGGCGUGGUAGUGGGCACUUGUAGUCCUAGCUACUUGGGAGGCUGAGGUAGGAGAAUCACUUGAACCUGGGAGGCAGAGGUUGCCUUGAGCCAAGUUUGCCCCACUGCACUCCAGCCUGGGUAACAGAGUAAGAUUCUGCCUCAAAAAAAAAAAAAAAAAAAAAAAAUUAUCAGCAUGGCUGGAGCCCAGAGAAGCCAGAGAGAACACAGCCCUUUGGGAGACUGGUGAGGUGGGAAGGAGCCAAAUUUUGGAGAGCCUGGUAUGAGGUAAAGGAAAGAAUCAGAUAUGUGAUGACAUUUCCAUCUCUUUUUGAAAAACAAAGGAAAUAAUUGAACAUGUUUUAUAGUGAACUUCCAUUGGACAGCACAGAGGUGAUUAUUACAAAGUUAUGUACCAACUACAUUAAAAGGCAUCUCAGAUAUGCUCCACAUGGACUCAUUCAGAUACACUUGAAAAUUAAGGGAAGAGACAGCUUGGAGUCCCCCACGGAUAAAUGAAUGCAUUCACCUGGAAAUAAUAUAUCAUUUCCACUCAUGUUCCACUGGCCAAAGAAUAUCAAGGGGAUGGAGAAUUUCAGUGACCACUCCCUUUUACCCCCACCACAAACUGAAGGAAGAGAAGAACUGGAACUACAGCAAGGUCACUGAAGAGGUGAAAAAGCUAACUGACUUGAAAAGGAUCACCCACAUAGCCAGAAAUGCAGAUUAUGCCGGUAUGUACAAAAUGUUUUUCAUACAGGUGUCCGUUGCAAAUCUUUCCACUAACGUGCAUACAAAGGUAAACUAUGAAUUCUUAGUGGGGAUGGGG
This 939-nucleotide long non-coding RNA is filed under the name Callithrix jacchus (white-tufted-ear marmoset). RNAcentral describes it as "lncRNA (ENSCJAG00000086416.1)". Lineage: Eukaryota; Metazoa; Chordata; Mammalia; Primates; Cebidae. The record is from RNAcentral.